GCAUAAAUGAAAAAGAAAAAGGAAAUAAACCCUAAACCAUUCUAAAAGACAGAAAAAGGAUCUCCUUUUCUCUCCGCUGCAACCCUGAUGCACCCCCUCUCGAACUUCGAUUUCGACGAAGCGACUGAGGUCCGGCGGCCUCAAACCGGAAGGCAUUUGUUGCGGGUGCAGGUACGAGUACGGUGUCAGGUGCAGUGAUGUGGAGGCUCGCGUGAGGCUGGGUCAAGGUGGCAGUGGCGUACGUGCGAGGGAAGGCUGUACGGAGGCGUGCGUGGCUGGAGAGAACGGCGCUGGAAGCUGCUAGGGUUCCUUGCUCCUGUUUUGCGUUUUGGGCUCAUUGGGCUAAAGGUUUCUAGGCUAGUGGGUUUGGGUUUUAGUUGGGUCUUUUGGGUUAGUGAUUUGGGCCAUGUAUUUGGGUCUGUAAUCGGGCUUGAAAAGUUAGAUUGACAUUAUUGGAUUGGAUUGCUUAUUAUUGGUUUUUAAUAUCUGUAUCGGGCUAGGCCGAAUUGGGCCUAUUACAUUUAUUAUCUUAAUAGUCUAUAAUUUUAUAAUUUUAAAGGAUUAAAUCAGAUUUUUAUCAUUUUGAA
Gossypium raimondii (Peruvian cotton) is the source of this 587-nucleotide long non-coding RNA. RefSeq lists it as uncharacterized. The transcript has 2 exons. The record is from RefSeq and is a predicted model, not a curated record. Lineage: Eukaryota; Viridiplantae; Streptophyta; Magnoliopsida; Malvales; Malvaceae.